Molecule: ribosomal RNA, 106 nt
Filed under: Callithrix jacchus (white-tufted-ear marmoset)
Lineage: Eukaryota; Metazoa; Chordata; Mammalia; Primates; Cebidae
Source: RNAcentral
GUCUAUGGCCAUAGCACCCUGAACACACUUGAUCUUGUCUGAUCUUGGAAGCUAAGCAGGGUUGGGCCUGGUUAGUACUUGGAUGCGAGGUAGUGGACUGUAUUUU